UCCUCGUUAGUAUAGUGGUGAGUAUCCCCGCCUGUCACGCGGGAGACCGGGGUUCGAUUUCCCGACGGGGAG
Non-coding RNA from Ciona savignyi (Pacific transparent sea squirt), 72 nucleotides. The record is from Rfam. NCBI's taxonomy places the organism in Eukaryota, Metazoa, Chordata, Ascidiacea, Phlebobranchia, Cionidae.